RNAcentral lists this ribosomal RNA (908 nucleotides) under uncultured Bacteroidota bacterium. RNAcentral describes it as "bacterial SSU rRNA". It matches the Rfam family "Bacterial small subunit ribosomal RNA", at positions 18 to 916 of the family's 1533-position model. Lineage: Bacteria; Pseudomonadati; Bacteroidota. The record is from RNAcentral.
UCUGGCUCAGGAUGAACGCUAGCUACAGGCUUAACACAUGCAAGUCGAGGGGAAACGAUAUUGGAAGCUUGCUUCCGAUAGGCGUCGACCGGCGCACGGGUGAGUAACGCGUAUCCAACCUGCCCACCACUUGGGGAUAACCUUGCGAAAGUAAGACUAAUACCCAAUGAUAUCUCUAGAAGGCAUCUGAAAGAGAUUAAAGAUUUAUCGGUGAUGGAUGGGGAUGCGUCUGAUUAGCUUGUUGGCGGGGUAACGGCCCACCAAGGCGACGAUCAGUAGGGGUUCUGAGAGGAAGGUCCCCCACAUUGGAACUGAGACACGGUCCAAACUCCUACGGGAGGCAGCAGUGAGGAAUAUUGGUCAAUGGGCGAGAGCCUGAACCAGCCAAGUAGCGUGCAGGAUGACGGCCCUAUGGGUUGUAAACUGCUUUUAUAAGGGAAUAAAGUGAGUCUCGUGAGACUUUUUGCAUGUACCUUAUGAAUAAGGACCGGCUAAUUCCGUGCCAGCAGCCGCGGUAAUACGGAAGGUCCGGGCGUUAUCCGGAUUUAUUGGGUUUAAAGGGAGCGUAGGCCGGAGAUUAAGCGUGUUGUGAAAUGUAGACGCUCAACGUCUGCACUGCAGCGCGAACUGGUUUCCUUGAGUACGCACAAAGUGGGCGGAAUUCGUGGUGUAGCGGUGAAAUGCUUAGAUAUCACGAAGAACUCCGAUUGCGAAGGCAGCUCACUGGAGCGCAACUGACGCUGAAGCUCGAAAGUGCGGGUAUCGAACAGGAUUAGAUACCCUGGUAGUCCGCACGGUAAACGAUGGAUGCCCGCUGUUGGUCUGAAUAGGUCAGCGGCCAAGCGAAAGCAUUAAGCAUCCCACCUGGGGAGUACGCCGGCAACGGUGCAACUCAAAGGAAUUGACGG